Lutra lutra (Eurasian river otter) is the source of this 1844-nucleotide long non-coding RNA. RefSeq lists it as uncharacterized. Lineage: Eukaryota; Metazoa; Chordata; Mammalia; Carnivora; Mustelidae. The record is from RefSeq and is a predicted model, not a curated record. The transcript is spliced from 3 exons.
CACUCCACCGCCGUGUCUCCCAGGCACGCUCACCCACCGGCUCAUUCGGAGGCUCGUAGCAAACUGUAAACUAGCAACCAGCCUGGUUUGGAAUUUGUCACACUGCUGGAAGUUUCUGCAAGGGGAAUGUAAACACAGAGAUUCUGCAUUCCUUCUGGGUGGAAGCAAAUUGAGGGGUAAUGAGGAAUGGCACGGGCUUGUAGGAAAAUGCUGUUGGCCAACACAUAUGUGAUAGAAACUUCAACAUUUACAAUCUAGGAAAAGACCAGGCUCCUUCUGCCUCUGCUCCCAGCCACUGCCCCCUGUGCCCAGGCCCGUUCAUACCUUGCGUGGAGGACCCGGUCAUUCACGGCCCCAGCUGGCGACACUCCCUGCUCCCAGGGUGCUCCUUCUGCCACCCCAUCUCCCUGCUGCCCAGAAAUGACUCUCCUCACCAUCAAACCUUCGAAGACACGGAGACCAUCUUCACAUCAACCCACCAGAGACCCACCAGAGACAGCCGACUGCCUGGAAUUCUCUAGAAGGCAUCACUCUGAACCUUGGACCAGAGGCAGCGGCCUACAAUGCACACUCUCCCUCACUCAGGAGGGUGCAGGAGCCACACUUGUCCGCUGAUCCGUGGGAUCGAGCUGUCGGAGCGUCAGAUCUGCCCUAUAGAUGUCCGUUCCUAUCGCUUCCUCGGAGGACGUGGGGCCCGGCAAGAGGGCAGGCUGGGAAGAGAGAGAUGAAGGCACCGGAGACAGAUCCCUCCCUCCUUGUUGCUGUGCCCUGCCCGCACCAGAGGCGCCAACUCAGAGUAGCCACCAUGGGGCCUUCUAACUGGGCUCAGCCUCCUGGGCCGCAUGAAGGGGGCUGCUCCUAGCUUCUUGGAAUGUGCUGGAUUCACCCUGCAGUCCCACUGAAGUCCCUAUUCCUGUUGCUGACUUCGGAAGAAGAAGGGCACUAGCGAAGGGCUCAUGGCUGGUCUGCCAGGCCCCGCAAGCCAGGGGAGGGCCACAGCCUGGCCCGCCUGUCCUCAUGGGGGACUCGGGAAGCCUCCCCACCUCAAAUGUAACCUAGAACUUCCCUUUGCGCUGUGUGUGUGUGUGUGUGUGUGUGUGUGUGUGUGUAAGCCUCUCAUGGCAUCAGGAUAGAACCACUAACUAUCUUGAGGGAUAGCUCCCGUUUUGGAGAGUUCAAGGAAACCACCCUUGAAGGGUUUUCCAAACAGCCCAGGAGCACCUGUCACCCUGCGACAUCAUUCACAUGCCUAUUACAGACGACGCCUGUCUCUUCCAGGGGCGCUCCGAGCAAUCCAAGGAGACAAAGUGAACAAUUUUCCUGGCCUGGGAAACUAAAAAGUGUGGGAACCACUGAUCUAGUGCUAAAGGAAGGAAAACAGGAAUAGCUUCUGUCUGUCCCGCACCUUACAGUAAUUACGCUAAUAAGUAACUCAACAGGGACAACGUGGCCUGGGUGGGGAGGCGGAGACAGCCCCGGAACGGGGAUUCCGCGAGUGAUCCUACCCGCUCCCGCUGGCUAGUCUGCGCGAUGAGCCUGCAGAGUCUGAGAGCAAGUCUUCACAGGGAUUUACUGCGAUGUCUCAUUUUUUUCAGUGAUUCCGAUGGAGUCAUCACCCCCACCCCCCGACUACUCAGUGUGCGGUGUACCUGUACCUGUGAACACCUGGGGUCACCACACCCAUUCUCUUGGUUCAUUAUUUCCCGGAAGCUUCCAGCUCCUUCUGCACACCAACCCCCCCACCCCCCACCCCCACCCGUGGCUGAGCAGGGGAGGGAGGAAGAAGCCAGUGGAACAAGGGGGGGAGGGGAUGGGCUGCCACUGUGGCUCCAGCCUCCCUUUCC